CCGGGAUAGUAGAAGUCAUGGACUCGAAGAGUAAACCCCUUGAGGCGUGGGGGGACAUGGCUGAUAUCCUCCACAAGGCUUGGAAACGGUUCACCAACAAAGCUCCGGGUUUAAAGAAUAAAGAUCUUCGAAUAAAACAUGUACCGGUAAGUACUAAUGGCUAGGCCGCGCAUCUCUUUGAUUCUAGUUUCAAUACAAUUAUUAUCAUCCUUGAUUAUAUAUAUAUUAUUUUGAUUGAACUUUGUUCUCGUAAAGUGCUUGAGGCAAGAGGACGGGAAUAAUUUAUGCGGGUUCUACGUUUGCGAGUUCAUCCGCCAGAAUACCCAUCAUGUGAGGGACAUUUUGGAACAACUUGAUAUCGAACGGUUGCGGGACGGUCUUCUAGCAACAGAGCGUGUACGAGCAAUUCAAGAAGAACUGGCGGGGUUCUUACUUGAGCAAGUCAUAGCUCCAGAUGGAGAACACUAUGUGGACAACCGCCAAUAUCAAAGUUGAUGUAGACAUAUAUAUAUAUGCAUGAACGUGUGUCACUUUGAUCGAUAUAUGUAAUACAAUGGUUUCCUAUAUAUAUAUUUGAAUUGUUUGCAUUAA
Lolium perenne is the source of this 591-nucleotide long non-coding RNA. RefSeq lists it as uncharacterized. Lineage: Eukaryota; Viridiplantae; Streptophyta; Magnoliopsida; Poales; Poaceae. The record is from RefSeq and is a predicted model, not a curated record.